GACGAACGCUGGCGGCGUGCCUAAUACAUGCAAGUUGAGCGCUGAAGGUUGGUACUUGUACCAACUGGAUGAGCAGCGAACGGGUGAGUAACGCGUGGGGAAUCUGCCUUUGAGCGGGGGACAACAUUUGGAAACGAAUGCUAAUACCGCAUAAAAACUUUAAACACAAGUUUUAAGUUUGAAAGAUGCAAUUGCAUCACUCAAAGAUGAUCCCGCGUUGUAUUAGCUAGUUGGUGAGGUAAAGGCCCACCAAGGCGAUGAUACAUAGCCGACCUGAGAGGGUGAUCGGCCACAUUGGGACUGAGACACGGCCCAAACUCCUACGGGAGGCAGCAGUAGGGAAUCUUCGGCAAUGGACGCAAGUCUGACCGAGCAACGCCGCGUGAGUGAAGAAGGUUUUCGGAUCGUAAAACUCUGUUGGUAGAGAAGAACGUUGGUGAGAGUGGAAAGCUCAUCAAGUGACGGUAACUACCCAGAAAGGGACGGCUAACUACGUG
RNAcentral lists this ribosomal RNA (497 nucleotides) under uncultured bacterium. RNAcentral's name for it is "partial 16S ribosomal RNA". It matches the Rfam family "Bacterial small subunit ribosomal RNA", at positions 28 to 507 of the family's 1533-position model. The record is from RNAcentral.